UUUAGAUACCCCACUAUGCUUAGCCGUAAACUUAAGUGAUUAACAACAAAAUCACCCGCCAGAGAACUACUAGCCACCGCUUAAAACUCAAAGGACUUGGCGGUACUUUAUAUCUGUCUAGAGGAGCCUGUUCUA
This 135-nucleotide ribosomal RNA is filed under the name vertebrate environmental sample. Its description in RNAcentral is "partial 12S ribosomal RNA". The record is from RNAcentral. Lineage: Eukaryota; Metazoa; Chordata.